UUGAUUUUGUCAGCGUGGAGGCUGGUGAGUCCUGUGUGAAUGCCAGGCUCGCUUGGUAUUUUUCUGUCUGUCAACACUUUGAUAAAUUUAGAAGAAAUGGACUUAUGUUGGCACAUCUGCGAACUAGCGAAAAGAUCAAGAUUGUCACUGUGAUGGUAUCUUCACUCUACCACGUUGGAACAAAAUAGCAGCAUCGUAUUAACCAGAAGCUGCAUUUACCUGGACCAUACAUCAGCCCGAGCCUGUCUCCAGUGAAGAGUUGUGUCGUGCUGGAGGGACCAUUCAUCACACCUGCCCAGCUUCUGGAGGCUCUCCUGGGCUUUGGUGUCUUAGGAAUGCUGCUUGUUGCUGUGAUCGUAAACUCCUUCAUACCCCACAGGCUUGGGGGUUGGCUAGAAAAUAUUGGGUUAGAGCUGGGCAAAGAGGAAGCUGCUCAGGAUUGGAAGGUGGGAGAGAAGCAUCAGCCAUCACUCUCUGAGGUCGCCACAGUCAGAUGGAGUGACAGAUGAAGAGA
RNAcentral lists this long non-coding RNA (514 nucleotides) under Homo sapiens (human). RNAcentral's name for it is "HSALNT0005012". The record is from RNAcentral. Lineage: Eukaryota; Metazoa; Chordata; Mammalia; Primates; Hominidae.